UCCGAGUUGUCCCCGGCAGUCCUCUUAGAGUCCCCGGCAUUACCCGCUGGCAACUAAGAGCAGGGGUUGCGCUCGUUGCGGCACUUAACCCAACACCUCACGGCACGAGCUGACGACAGCCAUGCAGCAUCUGUGCGCGCUCCCUUGCGGGUCCUCCCCCUUUCGGAGUCGUACCACGCGCAUGUCAAGCCCAGGUAAGGUUCUUCGCGUUGCGUCGAAUUAAACCACAUGCUCCACCGCUUGUGCGGGCCCCCGUCAAUUCGUUUGAGUUUCAGCCUUGCGACCAUACUCCCCAGGCGGGGCACUUACUGCGUUAGCUGCGGCACGGAACCCGUGGAAUGGAUCCCACACCUAGCGCCCAACGUUUACGGUGUGGACUAC
This 381-nucleotide unclassified non-coding RNA is filed under the name uncultured bacterium. RNAcentral's name for it is "contains 16S-23S intergenic spacer region". The record is from RNAcentral.